GUGUUCAUUGCCAGAGCACCUGAGUUUUUUGCUUGCCCCAUAUUAUUUUCCCUUUUAUAUUGCAUUUCCACCUCUCACAUUAAUUGUUCCAAGAGACUCUGAUUGAUUGCCACCAUCUCUCUGCAGCGCAGCUCUGUUUGAGAGCAGGUACUGAGUGUGUUCAUCAGCCCUGCCAGCUCUGCCUUCAAAUUCAGGGCUCACUGCUGGCUCUUUAGAAUGCAUGUACAUCCACACUGAUAUACUCACAUUACCAUGUCUUGUCUCUCUUUUCUGCUUUGUUUCUCCAGGUGUUGCCUUCUGCCCCAUGUCACCCCUUCCCUUCAAGACAACAGAGAUGUCAGUGUCAAAGAAGGGGGAGCACAUAACGAGUGCUGCUCUGUCAUGGAGAAGCAAAGAAGGCCACUGUUCCUACAUUGUACACUUUUUCUUUGACAAGUUAUCAGAUUUUCUUGAUGUCAUGACUUGUUCCCUGCAAUGGAGAUGUCUACUGGCUGCUUAAUGAGGUUUUGAAUUACAGUCUCUGCAUCUGAAACAAAGGGUGAAACUGAGGCAAAUAUGGAAAAGAAGGAAAUGAAUCCAUUGUGUCUGACAUAGCUUCCCAGGAUCAAAUGUCCCCCUGCAUGAACCUUUGCAUGUAUUUAUGAAAUGGUAUUUUUCUUUGACAUAGCACAAAUAAACUCAGCAGCUCAGUUAUUAC
Non-coding RNA from Taeniopygia guttata (zebra finch), 697 nucleotides. Lineage: Eukaryota; Metazoa; Chordata; Aves; Passeriformes; Estrildidae. The record is from RefSeq and is a predicted model, not a curated record.